Molecule: long non-coding RNA, 1510 nt
Filed under: Betta splendens (Siamese fighting fish)
Lineage: Eukaryota; Metazoa; Chordata; Actinopteri; Anabantiformes; Osphronemidae
Description: lncRNA (ENSBSLG00000003620.1)
Source: RNAcentral
AUGAGUCAACGCAGACGCCGCAGAUCCGCGUCUGGCCUCAGAAGCCGCACCCACCAGAACCGGGCCUCACCCCGGUGUCGAUGCUGUUUGGCUGCAGAGCGGAGAAAGCUGAGCGGCUGCAGAGGAAGCAGGGUUUGUUUGUUUGUUGGUUGUUUCUUUGUUUGUUGGUUUGUUUGUUUGUUUGUUUGUUUGUUUCUUUGUUUGUUGGUUUGUUGUUUCUUUGUUUGUUGGUUUCCUUGUUUGUUUGCUUGUUUGUUUCCUUGUUUGUUUGUUGUUUGUUUGUUGGUUUCCUUGUUGGUUUCUUUGUUUUGUUUGUUUGUUUGUUUUGUUUGUUUGUUUGUUGGUUGGUUGGUUUCCUUGUUGGUUUGCUGGUUUGUUUGUUGGUUUGUUGCUCUGGCGCUUUCAUUCUACAUGUUUCACACAGCACCGCUCUGCUCAUCGUCGAUAAGCCUGAGUCUGUGUAGUAAUGUUUCCCUUCUUUUACAGGCACAUAUGGACGAGCGCUCGUAACGAACGCCUUCGCGCUCCACAUGAAACAGAACGACGCCGUGGAGCUGAGCCCACGCGCUGCACGGGGGGUGCGGCGUGGGCUCUGCGCUGGCUUCAGUCAGAGGAAGCCGACCCGCUGCACCGGAUCAGAACCACCGUCGUAGCUGCUUCAUUCAGCUAAAGGGAACAGCGGGAAACACAUGAAGCCUGUUCUCAUCCUGUUUGUCUUCUUCCACAGAUGCAGUUUUCACCAGACACCGGUUCUCAUACAAUGAGAUGCUGCAUUAAGUCCUUUAGGUAAAUGGAGCCCACGCUCUGAUUAUCCUCAGAUUUACUUCUGGGGCUUUGAGAACUCGGGUCUAUACGUACUGCACAUGGUGAAGGCGAACAGAAUGCGGUUUACGGGAAACGCUGCAAACCGUCUCUUUAAGCCCGAGGCUCCGGUUCCAGCAGCUCAAAGAAACACCAUUAAAUCCUGAGGUGAGCUUUGAACUGGGGCAAAAUGGGCUCAUUGGAGAAAACGGAGCCUCGCGUACAUUUACUGAAAAUCAAUCUGCAGCCUGUUCCCAUCGUGCAAAACGAUGAAGGGGAACAGAGGCCGACUGCAAAAUGAUUCUAGGGAACCAGUCUCAGGUUUGAUUCAUGAAGCUUCAAUAUGAAGGUGAGGCGUCGCUGAGCGUCUCCCUGUGGAUCGGCCAGUAUCUGCUUGGACCUGUGACUUCUUGACUGAUCAACGGGACAAAGGAGCUGCUGCUCGUUCUCGCUGCCAAUUAGCGCCAUGAUGCCCGUUAGUUUCCCUCCAGCUCCUGUAAUUGGAUCUCAAUUGGAAAACAUGGCGCCCGUUUCUCUUCCUCCUCUGCUUCCAACUGAGCGCGGAUCCGUUGUUUAUACAGCGGUUUAGCGGCUUUGCACCACUUUACUGGGAUUUGCUGAAUUCAUGUCGUGCUGCAGCUGUUGGAGUUGCUAGAGUGUAAAAUUGCUCAGAGUGGAUUAGUUUGCACCGGACACCUCAUUAAACUCU